This 497-nucleotide ribosomal RNA is filed under the name uncultured bacterium. RNAcentral describes it as "partial 16S ribosomal RNA". It matches the Rfam family "Bacterial small subunit ribosomal RNA", at positions 28 to 507 of the family's 1533-position model. The record is from RNAcentral.
GAUGAACGCUGGCGGCGUGCCUAAUACAUGCAAGUCGAGCGAACGGACGAGAAGCUUGCUUCUCUGAUGUUAGCGGCGGACGGGUGAGUAACACGUGGAUAACCUACCUAUAAGACUGGGAUAACUUCGGGAAACCGGAGCUAAUACCGGAUGAUAUUUUGAACCGCAUGGUUCAAAAGUGAAAGUCGGUCUUGCUGUCACUUAUAGAUGGAUCCACGCUGCAUUAGCUAGUUGGUAAGGUAACGGCUUACCAAGGCAACGAUGCAUAGCCGACCUGAGAGGGUGAUCGGCCACACUGGAACUGAGACACGGUCCAGACUCCUACGGGAGGCAGCAGUAGGGAAUCUUCCGCAAAGGGCGAGAGCCUGACGGAGCACCGCCGCGUGAGUGAUGAAGGUCUUCGGAUCGUAAAACUCUGUUAUUAGGGAAGAACAUAUGUGUAAGUAGCUGUGCACAUCUUGACGGUACCUAAUCAGAAAGCCACGGCUAACUACGUG